Molecule: ribosomal RNA, 322 nt
Filed under: Stemphylium vesicarium
Lineage: Eukaryota; Fungi; Ascomycota; Dothideomycetes; Pleosporales; Pleosporaceae
Description: eukaryotic LSU rRNA
Rfam family: Eukaryotic large subunit ribosomal RNA
Source: RNAcentral
AGACCGAUAGCGAACAAGUAGAGUGAUCGAAAGAUGAAAAGCACUUUGGAAAGAGAGUCAAACAGCACGUGAAAUUGUUGAAAGGGAAGCGCUUGCAGCCAGACUUGCUUGCAGUUGCUCAUCCGGGCUUUUGCCCGGUGCACUCUUCUGUAGGCAGGCCAGCAUCAGUUUGGGCGGUGGGAUAAAGGUCUCUGUCACGUACCUCUCUUCGGGGAGGCCUUAUAGGGGAGACGACAUACCACCAGCCUAGACUGAGGUCCGCGCAUCUGCUAGGAUGCUGGCGUAAUGGCUGUAAGCGGCCCGUCUUGAAACACGGACCAAG